RNAcentral lists this transfer RNA (74 nucleotides) under Camelus bactrianus (Bactrian camel). It matches the Rfam family "tRNA". Rfam says of the family: Transfer RNA (tRNA) molecules are approximately 80 nucleotides in length. The record is from Rfam by way of RNAcentral. Lineage: Eukaryota; Metazoa; Chordata; Mammalia; Artiodactyla; Camelidae. RNAcentral also lists the same sequence under 2 other names.
AAGGGUAUAGCUCAAAGUGGUAGAGCGCAUGCUUAGCAUGCAUGAGGUCCUGGGUUCAAUCCCCAGUACCUCCU